Homo sapiens (human) is the source of this 363-nucleotide long non-coding RNA. RefSeq lists it as uncharacterized. The record is from RefSeq and is a predicted model, not a curated record. NCBI's taxonomy places the organism in Eukaryota, Metazoa, Chordata, Mammalia, Primates, Hominidae. The transcript is spliced from 4 exons.
CGAUGGAAACCUGAGAAAUACUUGCUUUCUUUAUGAUAACCUUAGCAGUUUGUUUGACUCAUUAAGUCAAGUUCCUAAUUCUCAACUCAUUUCAAAGUUUGACGGAAAGUGAUCAAGAAGCAUAAGAUCUUCAGAUAAGUCUAGAAGAUAGAGCACCCUAUAUGUCCACUGAAGGAUCUUGGGCAAGUGCUCAGAUUUUUCUCUCUGUACCACACUGUCACUGCUGGGGAUGAGAGAGGAUGUGGCGUCGGAGAUUCAAGACUUUUUCCUACCUCUUCAGUGCCUCUUUCAGUUAUACAAGAAAUUUUUCUGUCCUGGUAAAGAUGACUUCACAUGCCAAACCAUUACCUCAGAGACUAAACC